This 322-nucleotide ribosomal RNA is filed under the name uncultured bacterium. Its description in RNAcentral is "bacterial SSU rRNA". It matches the Rfam family "Bacterial small subunit ribosomal RNA", at positions 28 to 334 of the family's 1533-position model. The record is from RNAcentral.
GACGAACGCUGGCGGCGUGCCUAACACAUGCAAGUCGAACGAAGCAUUUAAGUGAAUCCCUUCGGGGUGAAGCUUUAUGACUUAGUGGCGGACGGGUGAGUAACGCGUGAGUAACCUGCCUUUCAGAAGGGGAUAACAGUUGGAAACGACUGCUAAUACCGCAUAACGUAUUGAGAUCGCAUGGUCUUAAUACCAAAGCUGAGGCGCUGAAAGAUGGACUCGCGUCUGAUUAGAUAGUUGGUGGGGUAACGGCCUACCAAGUCGACGAUCAGUAGCCGGACUGAGAGGUUGAACGGCCACAUUGGGACUGAGAACGGCCCAG